Molecule: ribosomal RNA, 468 nt
Filed under: uncultured bacterium
Lineage: Bacteria
Description: partial 16S ribosomal RNA
Rfam family: Bacterial small subunit ribosomal RNA
Source: RNAcentral
GACGAACGCUGGCGGCGUGCUUAACACAUGCAAGUCGAACGGAAAGGCCCUGCUUUUGUGGGGUGCUCGAGUGGCGAACGGGUGAGUAACACGUGAGUAACCUGCCCUUGACUUUGGGAUAACUUCAGGAAACUGGGGCUAAUACCGGAUAGGAGCUCCUGCUGCAUGGUGGGGGUUGGAAAGUUUCGGCGGUUGGGGAUGGACUCGCGGCUUAUCGGCUUGUUGGUGGGGUAGUGGCUUACCAAGGCUUUGACGGGUAGCCGGCCUGAGAGGGUGACCGGCCACAUUGGGACUGAGAUACGGCCCAGACUCCUACGGGAGGCAGCAGUGGGGAAUAUUGCACAAUGGGCGGAAGCCUGAUGCAGCAACGCCGCGUGCAGGAUGACGGCCUUCGGGUUGUAAACCGCUUUCGCCUGUGACGAAGCGUGAGUGACGGUAAUGGGUAAAGAAGCACCGGCUAACUACGUG